UAUCGUAUUAAUAAUCUGUAAAGGAAUUGAUAACACGAAUGUUAUUGAGUGACAAUAUUCAAGAGAACUUUUAAAUACUCCGCCCUGUUUUAUGCAGGUUGGGUUUUUCAUCUUCACACCAAGAUCUUAAAGGUUCAGAUCUUGGAAUAAGUAGAGUAUAUUUAUUCUUUACUAUGUAAGAGCAUUUAGCUCGAGCGUUUAAGCAGCAAUAAACACAAAGUGCUUCAAGCAACAUGUUGAUGUGUGUGUGUUUAUUCGAUAUAAUUAUAUUAGAUAACAUAUUU
This is a non-coding RNA of Paramuricea clavata, 284 nucleotides long. The record is from the annotation of a GenBank genome assembly. Lineage: Eukaryota; Metazoa; Cnidaria; Anthozoa; Malacalcyonacea; Plexauridae.